This 253-nucleotide ribosomal RNA is filed under the name uncultured bacterium. RNAcentral's name for it is "partial 16S ribosomal RNA". It matches the Rfam family "Bacterial small subunit ribosomal RNA", at positions 524 to 776 of the family's 1533-position model. The record is from RNAcentral.
UACAGAGGGGGCAAGCGUUGUUCGGAAUUACUGGGCGUAAAGGGCGCGUAGGCGGCCUUCUAAGUCGAACGUGAAAUCCCCGGGCUCAACCCGGGAACUGCGUCCGAGACUGGAAGGCUCGAAUCCGGGAGAGGGAUGUGGAAUUCCUGGUGUAGCGGUGAAAUGCGCAGAUAUCAGGAAGAACACCUAUGGCGAAGGCAGCUCUCUGGGACGGUACUGACGCUGAGACGCGAAAGCGUGGGGAGCGAACAGG